Molecule: ribosomal RNA, 779 nt
Filed under: uncultured bacterium
Lineage: Bacteria
Description: bacterial SSU rRNA
Rfam family: Bacterial small subunit ribosomal RNA
Source: RNAcentral
AGAGUUUGAUCCUGGCUCAGGACGAACGCUGGCGGCGUGCUUAACACAUGCAAGUCGAACGGCGCUCAACCAGUGGCAACACUGGGGAAAGUGCAGUGGCGAACGGGUGAGUAACACGUGAGCAACCUGCCUCGAAGACUGGGAUAACAGCGGGAAACCGCUGCUAAUACCGGAUAUCCCCAUCGGGCCGCAUGACCUGAUGAGGAAACGAAUUUCGCUUCGAGAGGGGCUCGCGGGCUAUCAGCUUGUUGGUGGGGUAACGGCCCACCAAGGCUACGACGGCUAGCUGGUCUGAGAGGACGACCAGCCACACUGGGACUGAGACACGGCCCAGACUCCUACGGGAGGCAGCAGUGGGGAAUCUUGCGCAAUGGGCGAAAGCCUGACGCAGCAACGCCGCGUGCGGGAUGACGGUCUUCGGGUUGUAAAUCGCUUUCAGCAGGGACGAAAUUGACGGUAUCUGCAGAAGAAGCCCCGGCCAACUACGUGCCAGCAGCCGCGGUAAUACGUAGGGGGCGAGCGUUGUCCGGAUUCAUUGGGCGUAAAGCGCUUUAAGGCGGUUCGCUAAGUCGCGUGUGAAAACUCCAGGCUCAACCUGGAGACGCCACGCGAUACUGGCGUGACUAGAGUUCGGUAGGGGAUCACGGAAUUCCUGGUGUAGCGGUGAAAUGCGCAGAUAUCAGGAGGAACACCGGUGGCGAAGGCGGUGAUCUGGGCCGACACUGACGCUGUAGAGCGAAAGCGUGGGGAGCGAACAGGAUUAGAUACCCUAGUAGUCC